Molecule: ribosomal RNA, 619 nt
Filed under: Propionibacteriaceae bacterium Se1Pw_3584
Lineage: Bacteria; Bacillati; Actinomycetota; Actinomycetes; Propionibacteriales; Propionibacteriaceae
Description: bacterial SSU rRNA
Rfam family: Bacterial small subunit ribosomal RNA
Source: RNAcentral
CGCCGCGUGCGGGAUGACGGCCUUCGGGUUGUAAACCGCUUUCAGCAGGGACGAAGCAACACGUGACGGUACCUGCAGAAGAAGCACCGGCCAACUACGUGCCAGCAGCCGCGGUGAUACGUAGGGUGCGAGCGUUGUCCGGAAUUAUUGGGCGUAAAGAGCUUGUAGGCGGUCUAUUGCGUCGAAAGUGAAAACUCAGGGCUCAACCCUGAGCCUGCUCUCGAUACGGGUAGACUUGAGGGAUGUAGGGGAGAACGGAAUUCUUGGUGGAGCGGUGGAAUGCGCAGAUAUCAGGAGGAACACCGGUGGCGAAGGCGGUUCUCUGGACAUUUCCUGACGCUGAGAAGCGAAAGCGUGGGUAGCAAACAGGCUUAGAUACCCUGGUAGUCCACGCCGUAAACGGUGGGUACUAGGUGUGGGGGACAUUCCACGUUCUCCGUGCCGCAGCUAACGCAUUAAGUACCCCGCCUGGGGAGUACGGCCGCAAGGCUAAAACUCAAAGGAAUUGACGGGGCCCCGCACAAGCGGCGGAGCAUGCGGAUUAAUUCGAUGCAACGCGAAGAACCUUACCUGGGUUUGACAUAUGCCGGAAAGGCCUAGAGAUAGGUCCCCCCUUGUG